AGCGAGAAGCCUUGUGGGGAGGAGCAAGAAUGAGGAACCCAGCCAGCUGGAUCCUCAAGGGGUGAGGGCGGGUGUGAAGCAAAGCAGGCUCCCUCGAGUACCCCCGUGGAGCAAAGGGGGGCCUCUGGGGUCAGGCUGACUUGGGGCCAGGGCCCAGCGGGGCCAUCAGCAGGCUGUGUGGUCUUGGGCAAACCACUGUGCCUCUCUGACCUUGGGAUCCUUGUCUGCAAAGUGGGGCCAAUAAUGGCAGCUACCUCAAAGGACUGCUGAGACACUUUGGUGAGAUAAUUUGUGCAAAGCACAGCUCUUGGGAGCCCUGCUCUGGGCUGUCUCCCCAGCCCUGCUAGCCAGCAGGGAGCUGUUUUCAGAGUGCUCCCAACAAAGCAGAUAUCUGCCAGGACCGAGGUAAUAGGCUGUCCUGACACAGCCACAGGGACUAAAUAUAGAAGCAGGUGUCUGAAACCUUGGAAACAUCACAUCAGGUGAAACAAGCCAGACACAAAAGGACAAAUGCCGUCUGAUCCCACUUACACGAGGUACCUGGAACAGUCAAAUUCAGAGAGACAGAAACCAGAUGGCAGACUUUGGACCCACCAGGAGGACACAGCCCAGAGACCCCAUCAUGAGCCAUCACUAAGAAGACUGGACUUGACCUCGUUCAGGGUUCGGAGAACUUCCUUGCCGUGACCACCUCACCACCCCUGUCCUUGGAGCGAGAGUUUUCCACAAGCUACAAAACGUGGGAUCACAACAGAGAGAAGCCGUACUGAGAAUCAGCUGACUUCCAUUCAUCCAGAGAAGUGCAAAGCUGUCAAACAAGUAGCACUCUCCUCACAAAACGUUUUCUCUUUAAAAGGAUCGUUAUUUUUCACAGGGGGAUGUUACUUUUUAUCCUAAGUUUUUUCUAUGGUCAUUUGUAAAUGAAUUAAUACAUGAACAUUUAAAGUACUGUUUAUUUUCUUUUUGUCUUUUUUAG
This is a non-coding RNA of Sus scrofa (pig), 976 nucleotides long. Lineage: Eukaryota; Metazoa; Chordata; Mammalia; Artiodactyla; Suidae. The record is from RefSeq and is a predicted model, not a curated record.